Non-coding RNA from Meleagris gallopavo (turkey), 9321 nucleotides. Lineage: Eukaryota; Metazoa; Chordata; Aves; Galliformes; Phasianidae. The record is from RefSeq and is a predicted model, not a curated record.
AUUCUUUGCCCAAACAGCUUUUCUUCUUCCAAGGAAAGGCUGUUUUCUUCUCCCUCAUGCUUGGGCUCAUACUUUCUCCUCUGCUUGGACUUAUUGUGUAAGGCUGAGAUGUCUCAGCAUUCAUAUCUCUGUAACCUUAGUGCUAUUUUACAUUCUUCAUUAUCAGUUUGUGAUUAUGUCUUCCGCAUAAUAUCAGCAUCAGUAAAUUAAAUAUUUUUUCCACUCUUUUCAUUAAGAUACCAAACUUUAUGCUUCUAUUUAUUUACUUCAUUACUAAUGCUGAUUAAGUCUAAGAAAGCAAACAUCUUAUAAUGGAAAAUUCCUCUUUCUCUCUUGGCAGUUACCAUUCCCAGUUGCUGGGGAUUGGUUUCUUUAAAUUUUCUUUAUAUCAGCAGGCAAGGUUUCCUCUGCAUAUGCCAGCCAAUCCUCCUCUCAUCAACAGAACUUUCCACCAAAAUGAGUGCCUAUGGAAUCAGUAACCAUGUGCAGAACUUCUGAAGCAACUUAAUAUGUUCUUCCUCCCUCUCAUGAAUUGUGCUUGGUAUUUAGUCAGAAAUGAUCACAUUUUGACUGAGUUAAUGUAUUCAAAGGAAAACCUGUGUAGAGAACGGAGUACAGAACUGAUGUCCUGUCAUUAUGAUGUCUUACUUUCUUUGGAUUUCAAGUUAAUCACAGCUGAGUUCAGGUUUACAAGGAGAAAGAGAUGCUCAGUAUCUCAAAGGAUGUGCCAACCAAUUCAGUCUGUGUAUUUCUAAAUCAGGAAAAACUUGUGAUGGUACCAGAGCAGCUAGAGACUAUCCAAGUUAAAGACAAAAUGAACAGUAGACAAGAAGAAUCCUGGUGUUCAGUUUAUCUGCCUACAAGAAAACCAGUAAUUUCUGCAACUCACAGUUGUAGUUUUAGGUAUACAGACCUCAUUCUUUCAUGGGGAAUCACUUCUAGAGAGAUGUGCUGUCUUUGCUGAGAACAUCCAUGGCACAAUGGAUCCCAGUCCAACAUCUGAAUAGGGCAUUCUGAAAUACUGUGUCUAGUUCUGGGCUCUCUGGUUCAAAAAAGGAAUCUUCUGGAAAGAGCUAGAAAACAUCCAGUGGAAGGCAAGAAAGAUGACUGAGGGCCUGGAGCAUCUUAACACAAGAGACAAGAGUAUCUUCAAUAUGGAGAAGAGAAGGCUAAGAGGGAAUCCCAUCACUGUUUAUGUUAUGAAAAUCUGAAGUUCAGGAGUCAAGUUGAUGGAGUCAGCAUGUUUUCAGUGGUAUGCUGCAGCAGAACAAGGAGCAACAGGCAGAAACUGGAACACAGGAAGUUUCACACUAACACAAGGAAGAACUUCUUUACUGUCAGAGUGACUGAGAACAGACUGCCCAGAGAGGUCACAGAGUCUCUUCUGGAGACAAUCAAGACCUGCCUAGACACCUACCUGUACAACCUACUGCAGGGAACCUGCUUUAGAAGGGUGUUUGGAUUAUAUGGACUCCAGAGGUCCCACCCGACUGCCACAAUUUAGUGAUUCUGUGGUUGCCCCACAAAUGAAUAAUCUCAGCAACAGGGGAAAAAUCUCCUAAAAAAGAUUCACCUACUUCCUAAAUCUUAUAGCCUUACAUCUAACACAGAUCUCUCAUGAAGAAAUUAAGAAAAAGGGAAGGGCUUUGUAUGGGAACUGUUACAUCAUAGCUGAACCAGUGAUUGAACACCUGGUGAAGGGGUGUAGGUUGCCCUGGGACUACAGGUGGAAGCAAUUCAACUGCACAAUGUGAAAAAGUAACAACAAAAGGAGCUAGGGUCCACUCCUGCCUAACUUCGUUUAAGGGCUGUCAGGAAGGAGAAUCUGUAAUUAGAGAUCAUCUUCUUUGGAGUGCUUGGUGAAGCCCUGAUUCUUGGAAAGGGGAAAUUGUGGAAACUGUGACUCAUCUCUUCAAUAAUUUACACAGGAUAAUUUCUUGAAAAGCAAGAUCAGCAGGGUCUUUUUCUCCUGAUCGCAGAGGAUUUGGUUAUAUAUUUCUGAAUACUCAAAAAACAAGAUCACAUUUUACUGAAUCAGUGAAAAUGAAAAAGGAAGUUUAACAGAAUCUCUUCAGUGAUUACUUUUCUCCCCAUUCCUGGAAACAUUCCUAGAAGAAAACAGCCCCCCCGAAAGAUCAAGAUUGAUUCAGUAUCAUUUGCAUUGUUUCGGCAGCAGAAAAUAAAUGGAGAACUGAGCUAAGAGAUUGUAUCCUUCUUUGACUGAAGUUUCACCCAGAUGUGUUGGAUGUGUAACAGUUCUGGCAAAUUCUUCUCUCUGGUGGUGAGAAUAGAGAACAAGUUCUCAAACGGCUUUGUGUUAGAGGCUAGUUAAAUCAUUAGUUAGAGCCGAGUGAAAGAUCAGGAGUAUGAGAUUACUUUACUUUAUUUGAGUUCCUUUCCUAUAAGGAAUUUAGAUCUAGGAUCCUUACCCUAAAUCCUUCUUAGGCACCCACCACAUGGGUGGUAGGCUGGCAAAUGCCUGUCAAAGCAGGUGAGAAAAUUCAGUAACUUCUGUUUACUGUAGAAGCAAACUUUAUGGCCUUACAGAAAAAGCUUGCUACAGUUGGUAGAGCAAGGUGUGGUUUCAAAUAAAGCUUGAAUUGUUGAGGAUAUUACAGGUCUUGAAAUUAAGUUAAGAAAAUGUGCAUAAAGCCUCAGUGUGGAGUAAUAUAGAAGAUGUCCUGGUUCUUUGUUUUUCGUGGUAUGGCUUUUUUGUUUGUUUUUUUUACAUUGAGGGGUUCUUAUGGUUUCUAUUCAAUUGCAUUUUAUUUUAGUUAUGUAAGUUCUACAUUGGUCUUUCUGGUGGAGAGUUGAAAGCUUCUUGGCAAUGUAUGGCUAACUGAGUAAUUCUGGAUGAGCCACAGUGGAAGGCUGUGUAGCAGCAGCUUGACUGUCAUUUGUAUCUCAAAAAGAAGACAUCAUUAUAACAUAUUGUCCCCAGCAAGCUAAGCACACUGAGUAAAGCAGCACAGAGUCAUCAUGAUUAUGCUAUUUUUUAAAACUGUGUGCCAUUUAUGUAUAUUUUAAAUACAGUACCAUAGUUCCAACCCAAGUCUCUAUUGUUAGGCACAAUCUGAAGUCACUGUUGCCUGUUCUGGAAUAUUAAAACUUGUCUUUUGAUGGAACAUUAGACUGACUUUGCACAGAAGUAAAUUAUUCUUAAAUCUUGCAGGGCAGUGGAGAUUUGCUCCUUGUUUAUUUACUCAUGGUGAAUUUUGCUUUGAAAAAAUCACUCUUGUAGACUUUGACUUGUAAGAUUAGGGAUACUGUGACCUAUCAUCAGAGUUCAGGCACUAUUACCAAAUUUUUCUCUUUGCUUAGAACAACGUCUAGAAUGCUAAAAGCUCACAUUACAUGUAUUGUUAAAGAAAAUGUGAAUUUCUCUAAUUAGGAACACAAGCAUAGUAACCUUAAAUAAAGGUCAUAUCCUUAUAGGGAGACUUGUAAUGAGGGUGACAAGUACGUAUGCUGCUGAAACACACACAACCUUCUGAACUGUACUGCACAGAGGUUGCUGGAACGAUUCAUAGGACUUUUGUUCACUUUUUUUUUUCUAAUUAAUUCAGUGAUGGGUGAAGUUUGUUUUGACUUGCUUCUACUGCCCUGUGUGACAUUUACCACAUAAUUAUCAUCUUUCAUUGUUUCAAAGAAUCUCCCAGCUAUCUUCAGAUAUUGGUAAAAUUAUUUUGUCAAUUGUUCCGAUUGAUUCUUCAAAAUAAAAAUAGAUUGUAAUGUUGUAGAACAGAUUCCUAGCUCUGAAAAUUCAAACCUUUAACAAAUCAACAUUUCCCAAAUUUUCAAUGAAAAGCCCUGUAAAUUAAGGAGCUUUAACUGGAGUUGCCUUGCAAUGUCAAAUUGAUUCCUCCAGGGGUUUAAGAGGCAUUAUGUUCUGAUUGACAAUUUUUAUUGUUUUUAGGCGGAAAUCUUUGUUUAUGCAUAUUUGAAAUAUGUAUAUUUCUGGUUAAUUUUAGUUCUAAAAAUUCUUGGAUGUGGAACCUAUUAGUCAUAAUGUUCUGUUUGCUACUCAUGGAUACCUCAUUUUUUCAUCAUUUCUAAUUGUAUAUUGUGAAGUUAAAAAUAUUCCAGCUAUAAAAUGUAAAUUAUUUUGCCUAUACUGAGUUUAAAUGAAUACAUUGGAUAUAUUUUUCUUUGAAAGUGUUCCAAUAUGUUAGAUAAGAUCAAAUUUGAGGAAAAAAAAUGUUUCUUCGUGAUGCUUUUUGUAAUGUAUGUUUCUAUACUAUUAUGCAGAACAGUGUGGUUUUAAGCAGUUUAUUUUCUCUUAAUUUUGUUCCUCAUUUCGAUGUUUUUUACAGGAGGACAUUAAUUUUUUUUCAUUUGUUGUGAUUUGGUUUAUGCCCUUGGUAAAAUGCAGGAACUAUGCCAAUUAAAAUGUAGUUUUCAUAUUGCCUCUUGAAGGAAUUGCUGAAAUUUUUCAGUGCAUCAUAUUAAAAUGUUUUAAAAUUAAAUAAAUAUUCACUUUAUGAAUUCAGUUUAUUAUUUGAUAAUGCUUAAGUUUAUGUGUGUUGGAACACAGAUUUGGGUUCUGUAAUGCUACUUGAAUGAUUUAUUUUCAAAUUUGCUUAGCUGUAAUACUGGCACAGUUAGUUUUACUUAUGAAAGUUUUAGUUCUUACUAGUUUCAGCUCUCAGUUUAAUUCUAACUAAAGCUAACAGCUGUUUUCUUGCAGCAGUGUCUAUUAAUUUUAUAUCUCUGCUAUCACUUCAGAUUCAGACAGAUCUGUCCAGUUCAAAACAUAUGGUACACUUACAUGGGGAAUAUCUGAUGUCUGUGUUUUGGUGUUUGGAGAUCGGAGCCUAAACGGGAAGAUCUUUGUGUUGCAGUCCAAGACUGCACAAGAAUCAUCAGAUGGAGAGAACUCUAGAAGUCCUGUAGGAUAGUGUUCUCUGACAUUUCCAGCCCCAGUUAACACUGCAAAAUCUUUAGCUCACACUGGUCAUUUAUAUACCCACCUGCAGAAAGAAGAUCAAAGCUGUUGUAUACACAGGCUAUCUUUGAGAUUUCAGAGUCUACAUGUCAUGGAAGUUCAAAGAAACCGUAUGACUGUAGCCAGCCUGGCACUGUGGUAGCAUGCAGCUUCCAGUAAAAAAAGUGAGCUGCUGAGACUUAGUUCUGAAGUCAUUAUGCAACUUUUCACUGUGCAGUGUACACAUCACCUUUUUUUUUCAAUAGGAAUUUAGAAUAUUGCCUGUGGUAUAAGUGUUGUCCUUGAUAAAUUUCUUGCUCCUUUUGCAAGGAAUUAUUGGUAUGUUGUUCAGCAAAGAUUCAGCAAGGAAGUGCAUAAUUUCCACAUUAAUUCAAUGGAAGUUUGUACAAGUUUGUCUAAAGUUUGAAUGAAGCCAUUUCACUUUGCAAUAAAAUCAAUGAGCAGCAGUCAUGCUGCUUUUUAUUGCAUGUCAUCUGAAAAUGGGUUUAAAGUCUCUUUAAUUUCUUUAACUCAACCAUUUGUGACUUUAUCAACAUAUCACGUCAGUCAACUAUUUUUGAAAAUGAGAAUAUAGAUUAAUUGUAGAUAAUCUCUUCUAAUCACAUUUUUUUCCUUUCCCAAAAAAGACUUCAGCCAACUUCACCAAUUGAAUUCUGUAUGACUUUCUUUGAAAUCACCACUUUCCUUUCUUUUUUCCAUAAUUCACUGUUCUAGUCGUUAUGGAAUUGUCCUAAAUUUGCAGUAAGUCCUCCUCGCUGUUUACAGCAUUGUCAAUGUUAAAUUUCUGGGGAAGGACUAUUACAGUUUCAGUUUUUGCAAAUAGUAAAAAGAAAUUAGCAAGUCCAAAGACAGUAGUAUGAGAAGUAGGUGCCUAAUAUAAGGGCAUAAUAAAUGGCAAAAAGAUUAAUAAAACUGUCAAACAUUAUUAAUUAGAAAGAUGUCUUUUACAUCGUUAUUAUGGGUUAUGAAUAUCUCCUAUACUUGCAGAACUAACAGCUAGAAGUCAAGCCUGGCUGGAAGGUUUUCUGUAUGAAUAAGAUUCUUUGAGAAAACCAAUCAAGAAUAGAAACUUCAUUAAAGUGACAGGCGUUUUUCAUCAGUCCCCUUCACAGCUGUCUUAUUCAAAGGGUACGAGAAUGAUAGCUGACCUUCUGGAUAUAAAAAUGACAUUUAAAAAUAUGAAUAAAGUACAAAUUAAUCCAGUUAUAAAAGGAAAAUACAGUAUAUCAUUUCUUUGUCUUUGGUAUUACUGUUUUGCAGUGAUAACCUGUCCCAGCUGAAAUCUGUAGGAAUUCACUAUUGAUUUUAACUCAGCUAAAUGUACCAUUUCCUGACAUCAGAAAAAAAACCUGACUGAAGUGCUUAAAGUGUCUAUUGUGAGGCUCUAUUUUUGGAAACUAUGCAAAUAGGUUUCCUAAAGCAUUCUAAUCCAAAGCUUACAUAUUCUGGGCUUUAUUUUUGUAAUUGCUGUAAGUAGCUUUCCCACACUGCAAUGGCUUGGAUGUACAUUUGGGAAAUGGGAAGGACAGAUUUGAAUUUGCGGCUGAGAACAAAAGAAUGUUUUUUUAUGGUUUUGAACAGAUAGCCUAAUUGGUGAGUUGUUUUGAAAAAAGUCAGGUAUCAUCAAUGAGCUGAGUUUCUGGAAAAGUGAGCCCCAGUUGAUAAAGAGCUUGACUCAGAAAUGAAUUCUAAUUUACAGAGCCAACCUGCUUGGAGGUACUUAAUAUGACACUGGUACAUUUGGUGGGGGUUUAAGCCCAUUGCUGUGAUCGUGGUGUUUUAUUUGCUGGAACUGGUCUCCACUCACUGAAGUGUUUUUAUGGGCCAGUCUACUGAGUUUCUUGUUUGUCUUUAAGGGAAUCUGGGUGCCUAAGCAUAACUCCCUGGGUCAUUAUCUUAUAAUCAACCACCUAUGGUUUUGCUGCUGCCUAAAUUAGAAAUACUUUUUUCCUUUCUUUUCAUCCUAAUAACUUUGCUUUAAGGAAUCUAGUUUGGUCACUGUUUACUAUUACUUUCAUUGCUCCCAAAAGAUCUUUCAGGUACUGAUACUCUAGCAAAUGCUGGAAACAAGUGAAGUCAGCUGUGAAAACAGCCACCUCAGAGUAACUGCAUUGUGACCUAACAGACAGAAGAAUUAAGGGAAAAAUUUACAGAGUGAUGAAAGGAUCUUACACAUCAGGUAAACAGUCUCUUGGAUAACCUGUAUUAGCUGUAUAUAACUGAAAUUUAUACGCACUCAGUUGAAAAAUAGAUUUCUCCUUCAUGUGAGCAUGAAGAAGAGCAUUAAUAAUAAUUAAUGUUGAUAUCUCUACAUGUCUGUAGCCCUAUGCCUAUCUGUGAAUGCUGGACAAGGUUCACUUUCAUGAUAUAACAGCUGGAAUACUCAGAGACAUAAUUAGUGCCUCUUAGAAAGUAAUAUGAUAUUAGUUGUAUACAUCAUAUGGAUCAGAUCUUUCUUGAAAUAUAUGUAUGUGGUUGGGAAGAGUAGGCAAGAGUUAAUCCUAAGGUAAUUUUCUUUUUUCCUUUUUUUUUCCUUUCUUUUCAAGAAGUCAGAUUCAAAAAUACUUAAUUUCCUAGCUCCUCUCCUUGCUAUUAGGUCUCUUAAAGCAUAGUGGCAUAAACACCAGACUAUUUCCUUAUGGAAACUUCUGUAAAGCUUUCUGCAUUCCAGUAAAUAAAAGAUUGAAUUUUCCCUGGAAGAGGCAAAGAAAAUAUAAUUACAUUGGUUUAAAGCAGCUAAGAAGGAAAAUAAAAUACUAGAAAGCAUUUAAGGAUUUUUUUUUUUAAUUUGUUUUUUUUUUUAGAUUUUACAGUCCAGGAGUGCAGCUUACCACAAAACCAUCUGUCAACAAUGCAUCUGCUUUCUCUCACUGUUUUUUGCAAGAUAGCACUUGUAACAAAUAGAAUGUCCCCAAAACAAUUUUAUCAGCUGAUAAUUUUUUUUCUUCAUGGCAAAAACUAGAUUGAUAAAGCUUUAAAAAAAAACUUCACAAGUCACUGAUAGACAAUGACUCAGAAUAUUAGUUACACGCGAGUCACUCAGAACAGGGAUUAGCUGUUAGAGCAUCAAAUUCCAUUCUAGCAGAGCACCACCAGCACUUCCCAUCAGACAGGUUAACUUCUGUUUACAUCCUUACCUACUGUGACACUCUACAGAAUUGCCUUUUUUCUGGUGUUUUUCACCAGGGAUAGGUUUAUUUCACUUUAUAAUUUUUACACAGUUGGAGCUCUUUGGACAGAAGCAGGUAUGGCAUUUAUCUUUGUUUUUUAGUGUUAUUCUGCUAUUCUAAUGUAAGAUUUUGACAUUCCAAUUAAAUAUAUAUAUAUUUAUUUGUUAUUUUCAAUUCAGCCACAAGAUUCUUACUUCUUUUUUAAAUUAUUGUUCUUAUUUUUUCCCCCUCUGCCAGACAGAUUUACUCAAAUUAAACUUGAGCAAAACCCAGUAACCUCUGAGAAAAGCUUCUUGCCAUGCAAGCAGCAAUAGGUAAUGUCUGGUCACAUGUUGGCAUCAAUAAUCUAAAAUCUAAAAUGAGAAGAUUUUUGUGUGUGUGUUGUUUGGGUUUUUUUUCCCAAAAUUCUUUAAAGUAGAGAAAAGUCUGUUUGGGGGGUUGUUUUUUUGCUUGUUUCUUUUUUUUUUUUCCUCCGACUCUCAUGGAUUCAUUUUUGACAGAUCAGUGUGUGAACUCAGCUAUCUUAACAGAAUUUUUAAACUACCUCUUUUGUGCUGUCCUCGCUAUCUGCAAUUACCACCACCAGUUUUGUGAGCUUGUAAAAGUACAGGGAUUUGUGCUGUGCCUCAACCCAACAAGUCUGUCUACCAGUAUUUUUUAGAAGGCAUUGGAGAAAGGAUGCAGCAAUUGUAUCAUUGUACAAAAAUCUAGAACAUACUUUACCUAAAUAGCAAUAUAUACAUGUUAAUUCUCUCUAUUUUGCAUAACUGCAGAGUAAUUAAUAUCUUAUAAAAAACUAUGACAGUUGUAUACGUGAUGACAAAGCUUUGCUGUUGCAAUUGGCUUCUUAGCUUAAAGCCAUUCAAAAACAGAUAACAAAUGGAAUUAUUUUUCACUCUGAUCUUUAAACCAAGAUUUCCUCAUUUAUAACCUGUGACAUUCUUGUAUGGCAGUUCACGAAGCUGAGGGACAUAAACUUCUUCCCUAUCAUAGCAGAACAGAUUGUGGAAGUAAGCAUGUGAUUGGAGGAUGCUUUCUUCAACAGAAUGCAGUAACAUUCUUCUGUUCUGCAGUCACUGAAAUCCUAGACUGGUCUCACAGUUUCCUAAUGGAGAUAGGCCCACAGUGACAAAAUGAUUGGCCUUUCUGAUCCAACUUGGACAUUCAAAUUCUACUUUAAAUACAGGUAUUUUCAAAGGAAAAAAA